GAUGAACGCUGGCGGCGUGCCUAAUACAUGCAAGUCGAGCGAAGCGGGGACGGGUGAGUAACACGUGGAUAACCUCCUAUAAGACUGGGAUAACUUCGGGAAACCGGAGCUAAACCGGAUACUUAUAGAUGGUUCCGGGCUGCAUUAGCUCGUUGGUAAGGUAACGGCUUGCCAAGGCAACGAUGCAUAGCCGACCUGCGAGGGUGAUGGGCCACACUGGAACUGAGCCACGGUCCGGACGCCUACGGUAGUCAGCAGGAGGGAGUUGGUGGCCAUGGGCGAUAGCCUGACGGGGCAACGCCGCGCGAGGGAUGAGGGGCUCCGGACCGUAACACUCGGUGAUUAGGGAAGCGGGACCGAAGCAGAAAGGCACGGCUAACUACGUAACAUCAGCCGCGGUAAUAC
RNAcentral lists this ribosomal RNA (405 nucleotides) under uncultured bacterium. RNAcentral's name for it is "partial 16S ribosomal RNA". It matches the Rfam family "Bacterial small subunit ribosomal RNA", at positions 28 to 526 of the family's 1533-position model. The record is from RNAcentral.